RNAcentral lists this unclassified non-coding RNA (345 nucleotides) under soil metagenome. Its description in RNAcentral is "partial contains 5.8S ribosomal RNA, internal transcribed spacer 2, and large subunit ribosomal RNA". The stretch from base 1 to 120 matches the Rfam family "5.8S ribosomal RNA", at positions 35 to 154 of the family's 154-position model. The record is from RNAcentral.
GAUGAAGAACGUAGUGAAAUGCGAAAAGUAAUGUGAAUUGCAGAAUUCAGUGAAUCAUCGAAUCUUUGAACGCACAUUGCGCCCCCUGGUAUUCCGGGGGGCAUGCCUGUCCGAGCGUCAUUGCUGCCCUCAAGCACGGCUUGUGUGUUGGGCCUCCGUCCUCCUCCCGGGGGACGGGCCCGAAAGGCAGCGGCGGCACCGCGUCCGGUCCUCGAGCGUAUGGGGCUUCGUCACCCGCUCUUGUAGGCCCGGCCGGCGCUUGCCGACACAUCAAUCUUUUUUCCAGGUUGACCUCGGAUCAGGUAGGGAUACCCGCUGAACUUAAGCAUAUCAAUAAGCGGAGGA